AUAUAGUUGAUGAGUCAGUUUUGU
RNAcentral lists this microRNA (24 nucleotides) under Ananas comosus (pineapple). RNAcentral's name for it is "microRNA s0214_c082". The record is from RNAcentral. Lineage: Eukaryota; Viridiplantae; Streptophyta; Magnoliopsida; Poales; Bromeliaceae.